RNAcentral lists this ribosomal RNA (250 nucleotides) under uncultured prokaryote. RNAcentral describes it as "partial 16S ribosomal RNA". It matches the Rfam family "Bacterial small subunit ribosomal RNA", at positions 524 to 773 of the family's 1533-position model. The record is from RNAcentral.
UACGGAAGGUCCGGGCGUUAUCCGGAUUUAUUGGGUUUAAAGGGAGCGCAGGCGGGUUGUUAAGCGUGACGUGAAAUGUAGCCGCUCAACGGCUGAGUUGCGUCGCGAACUGGCGACCUUGAGUGGGUACGACGUGGACGGAAUUCGUGGUGUAGCGGUGAAAUGCUUAGAUAUCACGAAGAACUCCGAUUGCGAAGGCAGUCCUCGAGUCCUCUACUGACGCUAAAGCUCGAAAGUGCGGGUAUCGAAC